Molecule: unclassified non-coding RNA, 53 nt
Filed under: Yersinia enterocolitica (type O:9) str. YE212/02
Lineage: Bacteria; Pseudomonadati; Pseudomonadota; Gammaproteobacteria; Enterobacterales; Yersiniaceae
Also listed under: 2 other names
Source: RNAcentral
CUUGAGCCUUAUCCGUGGUUUGAGAUUAUCUCAAACCACGGAUAAGGUUCGAU